RNAcentral lists this ribosomal RNA (60 nucleotides) under Chattonella marina. RNAcentral describes it as "partial 28S rRNA". It matches the Rfam family "Eukaryotic large subunit ribosomal RNA", at positions 23 to 82 of the family's 3401-position model. Lineage: Eukaryota; Raphidophyceae; Chattonellales; Chattonellaceae. RNAcentral also lists the same sequence under 2 other names. The record is from RNAcentral.
ACCCGCUGAAUUUAAGCAUAUAAUUAAGCGGAGGAAAAGAAACCAACUCGGAUUCCCCUA